UGCAAGUCGAACGAAGCACUUAUCUUUGAUUCUUCGGAUGAAGAGAUUUGUGACUGAGUGGCGGACGGGUGAGUAACGCGUGGGUAACCUGCCUCAUACAGGGGGAUAACAGUUAGAAAUGACUGCUAAUACCGCAUAAGACCACAGAGCCGCAUGGCUCGGUGGGAAAAACUCCGGUGGUAUGAGAUGGACCCGCGUCUGAUUAGGUAGUUGGUGGGGUAACGGCCUACCAAGCCAACGAUCAGUAGCCGACCUGAGAGGGUGACCGGCCACAUUGGGACUGAGACACGGCCCAAACUCCUACGGGAGGCAGCAGUGGGGAAUAUUGCACAAUGGGGGAAACCCUGAUGCAGCGACGCCGCGUGAGCGAAGAAGUAUUUCGGUAUGUAAAGCUCUAUCAGCAGGGAAGAAAAUGACGGUACCUGACUAAGAAGCACCGGCUAAAUACGUGCCAGCAGCCGCGGUAAUACGUAUGGUGCAAGCGUUAUCCGGAUUUACUGGGUGUAAAGGGAGCGUAGACGGCUGUGUAAGUCUGAAGUGAAAGCCCGGGGCUCAACCCCGGAACUGCUUUGGAAACUAUGCAGCUAGAGUGUCGGAGAGGUAAGUGGAAUUCCCAGUGUAGCGGUGAAAUGCGUAGAUAUUGGGAGGAACACCAGUGGCGAAGGCGGCUUACUGGACGAUGACUGACGUUGAGGCUCGAAAGCGUGGGGA
This 711-nucleotide ribosomal RNA is filed under the name uncultured Lachnospiraceae bacterium. RNAcentral describes it as "bacterial SSU rRNA". It matches the Rfam family "Bacterial small subunit ribosomal RNA", at positions 56 to 767 of the family's 1533-position model. Lineage: Bacteria; Bacillati; Bacillota; Clostridia; Lachnospirales; Lachnospiraceae. The record is from RNAcentral.